This 717-nucleotide ribosomal RNA is filed under the name uncultured bacterium. RNAcentral describes it as "bacterial SSU rRNA". It matches the Rfam family "Bacterial small subunit ribosomal RNA", at positions 771 to 1501 of the family's 1533-position model. The record is from RNAcentral.
AACAGGAUUAGAUACCCUGGUAGUCCACGCCCUAAACGAUGAUAACUCGAUGUUGGCGAUACACAGUCAGCGUCUAAGCGAAAGCAUUAAGUUAUCCACCUGGGAAGUACGACCGCAAGGUUGAAACUCAAAGGAAUUGACGGGGGCCCGCACAAGCGGAGGAGCAUGUGGUUUAAUUCGGUGAUACGCGAGGAACCUUACCUGGGCUUGAAAGUUAGUGACAGUCCCUGAAAGGGGAUCUUCCGCAAGGACACGAAACUAGGUGCUGCAUGGCUGUCGUCAGCUCGUGCCGUGAGGUGUUGGGUUAAGUCCCGUAACGAGCGCAACCCCUAUCAUUAGUUGCCAUCAGGUUAAGCUGGGGACUCUAAUGAGACUGCCCGCGCAAGCGGUGAGGAAGGUGGGGAUGACGUCAAGUCAUCACGGCCCUUACGUCCAGGGCUACACACGUGCUACAAUGGUAGAUACAGCAGGUUGCCACAUGGUAACAUGGAGCUAAUCCCAAAAGUCUAUCUCAGUUCGGAUUGAGGUCUGCAACUCGACCUCAUGAAGCUGGAUUCGCUAGUAAUCGGAAAUCAGCAAUGUUCCGGUGAAUACGUUCCCGGGCCUUGUACACACCGCCCGUCAAGCCAUGGAAGUCGGGGGUACCUGAAGUCGAUAACCGUAAGGAGUCGCCUAGGGUAAAACCGAUGACUGGGGCUAAGUCGUAACAAGGUAACC